UAAUAGCGUAUAUUAAAGUUGUUGCAGUUAAAAAGCUCGUAGUCGGAUGUCGGGCUCGGGCAGGCUGUCGGCUUCGGUCGGACGGCAGGCUCGGGUCUUUCUGCCUGAGGAUCCAUCUCAUUCACUUGGGGUGGGGACGCAGGCCGUUUACUUUGAAAAAAUUAGAGUGUUCAAAGCAGGCCUACGCUUGAAUACAUUAGCAUGGAAUAAUGGAAUAGGACUUUGGUGCUAUUUUGUUGGUUUAUGGGACCGAAGUAAUGAUUAACAGGGACAGUUGGGGCCGUUUAUAUUUCGUUGUCAGAGGUGAAAUUCUUGGAUUUACGAAAGAUAAACUUCCGCGAAAGCAUUCGGCAAGGAUGUUUUCAUUGA
RNAcentral lists this ribosomal RNA (369 nucleotides) under uncultured eukaryote. RNAcentral describes it as "partial 18S ribosomal RNA". It matches the Rfam family "Eukaryotic small subunit ribosomal RNA", at positions 592 to 976 of the family's 1831-position model. The record is from RNAcentral.